CCGGGUUGGCCAUUUCCCGUCAUGCUCCACGGCAAUGACAUCAUAUCUCCUCCCCAGGUCUGAUGCUCUGUCGCCACUUUUCGCCUGGGGUGCAACGCAACAGUAUCUCCAGGCCUUCAGUCUGUUCAAGAAAUAGGGAAGUACGUUUCCUUUGGGCAGUAGAGAAUGAGGGUGAUGAUGCUCAACGAAUGUAAGUUUGUUUAUUCGACAACACCGUACCUGCAAUUCUGCUUGAAACCACUUUCAGCUUGUCCAAACAAGUUAAUUGCAGUAAAUAGUUAUUGCAUCAAAAAACUCUAAUUUCUGGAAAAAUUUCUGGUGAUUAACAUCAUACAUUUCAGAUUGAUAUCUUUCAUAUCGCGUCACCUAUCUUGAACACUGCACCAUAGUUAUAAUUUCAUUCAUCUACAGGCCUUGUUAAAUUGGUUUUUAUUAGACGUGUUGUUCGGCUCUGUCCUCCACGAAGUCCUGCUAGAUACCCCCGUGGUCUUGGGACGCUGCUCUCCCCGUCCUUCUUAGUCUGACACGCAGCUUCUUUAGGCGUGUAAGUUUGCGUGGCGUUGUCCCGCCUCAUAUGGCUCAGAUUCGUCUGCAUUGAACAGGUCACUUUCGUGCGCAGAUUCGCCUGGGGCGAAACACCGGCAGCUCCUGAACAACUUCUUAAUCAAUUUAUAACAUUAAUACAAUAAAAUAAGUAUCUUAAACAUGUACCAACAAUUCAUUUGUGUCCCUGAUACUGCACAAGUGAUGUUUUUCUUUUUAACCAAAGCAACUUGCAUUUUUAAAAACAUUUUUACAUGUAUGUGUUUAACUUGGACAAUCCAGGCCCUUGCACAAGUUCCUCGAGCAAUAACAUUCAGGAUACAGGACAAAGUCAUUUCCAAUAGGCAAACCUUAUCAAGCAUCCAUCAUGUAACUCUCUUUAUGAACUGCUUGGACGGUGGACAACCUGGUUUGCAGUUGUGUUCUGUAAACACUGCAGCAGCCCACACCAGCUCUAUGGGCAACUUUUAAGCAAUGUUGCAGGGCAAUGUCGCUGGGCAAUGUGUUGCUUGCGCACUUUCGGUUUUGAAAAACUUUGAUUCACAAUGGGCUACUUUUCAUGAUCAUCUGGAUCCAGAGGAGUGGCCCUUUGUCUCACCUGGCUGGUAGUUGUCCAGCAACAUUGCUGGAAAAGUUGUCCUGUGUAUCAUCAGCUUCAUACGGUAAAUCAGACACAUACCAGUUUGACUGCUUGUCUCCUGAGUUCCCAUUCAUUCCAUUUGUAGGACUUCACAAUGUUGCUCUCUACUGGGUGGGUGUCUGUCUGUGUAUCGCCGUCACACUUUGCGACAGGCUGUGUCAGGUGCUUCUUCCCCAUCUGCAGAUGCGGCAAAAGGGACCGGAAACAGACUGCAGGUGGGUUGGGUGACAGAUAGAAACAUCACUGACCCUAAAGGAACUUUUUGUUGCAACAGGUUUGUUGCAGAGCACGUCUCACCUCUGGAUAUGGAGUAACAGGAGAGAACUGCAGGUGGAGUUCUAGCAGCUGAAUUAGCUCCGGAGAGGAUUUUGCUUCCUCGGCUACCGACUCGAUGCUCUCGUCUGGGUUGGAGGCAAACUCACAGGCUGCCUUCUUAGAGCUGAAGAUGUGAUAUUUAUUCCUGUGUUUCAGGAUGCCGACCGCUGGGUUACCUUGUCAUAAUUGAAACGCGAGUGAAACUGGUGAAACUGUACGUUUGGGUUUUUUAAAUCCAUGGCCAAAAAAUAAACUCUAUAAUAUUCUACCCAGAGAUGUACAUUUUUGUUUCAUGCCAGUUCCCUGUGUAGAGUUCCCGAUUGCUUGGGUCAGGUGUUCUGGGAACUGGGAUAAAACUAAAAUGUCGUUCUGUCCAGUGAGCCCUGAGGACUGGUUUGGGAGACACUGCUCUGGGAAUUGUAGAUACCUGGCAAAAGAAGACCAUGUUUUAUAAGUGCAUUCGCACACAUUCCCUUGUGUUGAAAAGGAAGUGUAUCCAUAUUAACUGUAGUCUCUGGGAAGAGCCACUCUUGAUUUUUGAACACGGAUGGGUCAAUGCGAUUGUCUGCACCAAAGACAGAACACUGUUAGUAAAUGACCACCAUUGGAACUAUAUCAUAAUCAUUUCAAAUAAAAAAUUCUAAUAGUUGAAUGAAGAAGUAUGCAAAAAAAUGCUAUGCAAAAAUUCAUCGCAUGUGCUCCAUGAUUUGUGUGUGGCAGCAGGAACGAGGAUGCCAGUCCACCCCAGGGCACACAUAGGCACACCGGGGGCAAAUGAUUAGUCCAACAGCAUGGAGAAUGUGCAGAGUCCACACCCAGAAGGGGCACGGAGUCUGUCGAAUUACAAAUGUUACUGAACUCCCCGCUGCAUUGUCCCUCCCCAGGAUCACAUGUGUCUAUAUACUGUCAAGGUGGAAAUAAAUCAGACAAACUUCCUUAGACAA
Molecule: long non-coding RNA, 2442 nt
Organism: Brienomyrus brachyistius
Lineage: Eukaryota; Metazoa; Chordata; Actinopteri; Osteoglossiformes; Mormyridae
Exons: 2
Source: RefSeq, a predicted model, not a curated record